CCUACGGGAGGCAGCAGUGGGGAAUAUUGCGCAAUGGGCGAAAGCCUGACGCAGCGACGCCGCGUGAGGGAUGAAGGUCUUCGGAUCGUAAACCUCUGUCAGCAGGGAAGAACGGUCACUGUGCUAAUCAGCAGUGAAUUGACGGUACCUGCAAAGGAAGCACAGGCUAACUCCGUGCCAGCAGCCGCGGUAAUACGGAGGGUUGGAGCGUUAAUCGGAAUUACGGGGCGUAAAGCGCUCGUAGGCGGUAUGUCAAGUCAAGGGUGAAAUCCCCGAGCUCAACGUGGGAACUGCCUGUGAAACUGGCAAACUGGAGUGUGUGAGAGGAUAGUGGAAUUCCAGGUGUAGGAGUGAAAUCCGUAGAUAUCUGGAGGAACAUCAGUUGCGAAGGCGACUAUCUGGCACAUAACUGACGCUGAGGAGCGAAAGCGUGGGUAGCAAACAGGAUUAGAUACCCGUGUAGUC
Molecule: ribosomal RNA, 465 nt
Filed under: uncultured bacterium
Lineage: Bacteria
Description: partial 16S ribosomal RNA
Rfam family: Bacterial small subunit ribosomal RNA
Source: RNAcentral